Molecule: long non-coding RNA, 3672 nt
Organism: Camellia sinensis
Lineage: Eukaryota; Viridiplantae; Streptophyta; Magnoliopsida; Ericales; Theaceae
Source: RefSeq, a predicted model, not a curated record
UAUUCCAAACUAAUAUGCGUUUGUGGUUCUCCAUUUCGAAGUUGCGCUUGUGCAUCCAAUGAGGAGAGAGUGAGAGAGCGCUUCCUCCCUUAUCCUCUUCUUCUUUCUGAUCCAUGUGUUCCCAUUAGAUGAGAGAGAGCGAGUGAAAAAGGAGUAAGAGGGAGAGGGAAAUAGACUAACAAGAAAUUGUGGGAAUGGGUCGAUUGGGAAGGAAUUCCUUUGGGUAUUGCCAAACGAAAUCCUUUCCUAAACCACCCAUUCCUCUGAUUUCUUGAUGUUUUUCUCUCUCCCUUUCUUGUCCUGGUCCUAUAUCCAGUCAUCCCAAUCAUCUUCUUCUCCUUCUUCUUUUCUCUAAUUGCUACUCUUGCUUUGUUUUAUUCAUAUUGUUUUUCACCUUUCUUUGCUGUUCUUGAAAUCGAUUGGUUUUGUGCUUUUUAUGUUGUCAUAUUUUUUGUUUCUGGAAAAAAAAAAAAUAAGAACAUUUUAUUGGGUUUGAAAAGUGAGGUUUUAUUACUUUGAUCAGCAGAAAGAAAAGAAAAAGAAAAAGAAAAGAAAAAGAAAAAGAAAUUCUGAGAUCUAAAAGGAAAAAGAAUUAAAAUCUGAGAUCUAGUUUUAGUGUGUUCAGUGAAGGUAUGUUUACUCUUCUUCCUUUUGUAUUUUGUUCUUCUGUUUGUUCAUGUCACAUCUUUUGAUCUGAAAUCUCAAAUAUGAAUACAAGUUACCCUAAUAUUUCGUAGUGGUUUGAUUUUCAAUUUUUCUUCCCUUUGAUAGGAUUUUAAGUUGUUAUAUGGAAAUAUGAUGGGAGAUUUUUGCAAUUGAACCAACUAAGAUCUAACUCUUGUUUUGUGUUGACCUUAUUGUAUCUAUUGUAUGAUGAAAAGUAGAGAUUUUAUUUGACAGUAGAUCUGAAUUUCUUCCACAUGCCCUGUUCUUUGAAGCAUGCUUUGAAUCAUUUCACUUGGAUUCAGUUAAAAUAGCAAGUCAUUUAUUUAUGUUUCAUGGGAUCGACUUUGAAGAACUCAAUAAGGUAUAGCUAUAGUCAAAAGCUAAGUCAUAAGGUAUCUUUAUGUUUAGAUCUGAUUUUAACCCCCAUGUGUUGAAUUCUAUUUCCUUCAAAUUCACCCAUUUUAGACCUUGUGGGAUAAAGUUAUAGACUAAUCCAUCAUUCUUGAGAUUUCAAACAAUAUCCUUUGGUGGGAUAGAUGAGGUAAACUAACCUAGAAAAUAAAUUUGGUGGUAGUGUUGGUUAAUGAAAACUCAAGCCAAAUAGGAAAGCAUCUUGUAUGGUAAAGGCCAUUUCAUGCCAUCAAAUAAGCCCCCCUUCAAACUUUUCCGUAUGAAUGAUUUUGUACUUGGGUGAUGGCAUUUGGUUGGUAUGUGGAAGUAAUCUUUGGUGCCCAUUUAACUUGCACACCUCGAUGGCCUACUCUUUCUUUUCACCUUGGAAAAAGUUGUGUGAAACCAUGUGAUCACUGAAAGGAACAUGUGCAAAUCGCAUCACUUUUUUUCAUUUGGUGAAAACCGUGUAAAGUUUUCUUGAAGUGUUUCAAAUAAGUGGCAUAUUUUAGGCAAAUGCAUAAUGGAUUAUCUUUUGACCUCUCUUUUGUGUCCUCCAAAUUUUUUCAUUGCAUAAACAUAUAUGUAGAGCAAUGUUAUUCUCAGAGCUGUUUUGUUGCUUCCAUGUCAAUUCCAAAUAGAUUAUUCAUUAGCUAAAAAUAGGAUGGUCAUGGAAGCAACAAAACAAGCUCUGCCAAUAUGAUUAUGCCUCACUUUAUGUUCCACCUUUUUUGUGGAAUCAGUUUUCACCAUGGUUUUAAAUAAUGGUGUUAGGACAUGUAUCCAAAUCGGUGAUGCGAUCAUAUAUCGGUCAAUAUCAAAUAGUAUCGGUUGAUAUAUUGAUGAAUAAUGGUAUCGGAGGUCCAAAAUUCUGAUACAUAACAUUGGAUAUUUUAAACCCUAGUUCGAACAGUAUCAACUCUUAAAUGUGGAUUUUUUCCAUAUAUGGUUGUUUCCACAUUUAUUAAAUCACUGCAGAAAAGGCUGCUGAUGUUUGAAAUCUGUAGGUUAAAAUAAAAUAAAUUAUUUAGUGGUCCGGGAUCAUCAUGUUAGCUUUGGUUCCGAUCACUCAUGAUUGGUUCCAUAAGAAAAAAUGGGACUUGAGUUUCACUUUUUUUUUUUUUUUUUUUUUUUUUUUUUUAUAUGUGGCCGAUCAUGAGUGGUUUGAGACCAAAACUGAUGUGGUGGUCCGGGACCACUGAAUAAUUACUCCUUAAAUAGUAAAAUAAUUUAAUUACAAUCUUCAUUUGCAGUGUUCAUAGUUUUCGGCCGUAAAUCAUUACAUAUAUGCCCUUGUUUGUGGUAAUGCUCAUAGCAAGUAUGUGUUUGGAUCCAGUUUUGCUUCCUCUUUCUUCUAUUGGUAUAGAAGUCUGUAUGCAGCAAGUGUUUUCAAAAGUGGAGCAAUCUUUCGAUUGUUUUAGUUGUUGCAAGAUACAUCAAAAGCAUUCUAUAGGAAUGAUUGAACAUGCAAUUUAGAUUACGGUUGUGCUACUUGCACAAAGAUAGAAUACAAAAUUUUUUCACAUAAUAGAGAUAAGAUGUGGGGUUAUGGGGUUCACAUGUGAUCUACACAUGUGGGGCUCACCUCUUUUGUCUCACUUCUGUAAAAGUUUUUGUGUUUUAUUUCUGUGCAAGUAAAUUUUUUAAAUAGGUAAAAAUAACAUUAAAAAUAAUAUAAUAAAAAAAUUGAAUGGGAGUAUAUAUAUAUAUGUGUAUGUAUAUUUUGUCAGCAAGGGGGAAAGUAUUGUCUCUAUAAUUUGUUUGUUUGUUUCUACCUAGUUAUGACAUACUGUGACAGGGUUGUCAUUUGUUCGGUGCUUUGAGUUGUGCCCCUAGCAUUUUUCAAUUCUGUAUCUAGGACACUGGCAUUAACUAGUAGUAUAGUCUAACUGUGUUUUGUUAGGCAGCAUGACAGAAUAAUGUACAGUUUUUUUCUAUUUCCAUUAUUUUUACGCAAUAUCGCAGGAUUCGACUACGAGACCAUUGCAGUUCAUGGAUUGAUAUCGGUGGAACUUUUGGUUUGGUUAUGGCCUCAUCUUGGUUCUUAGAUGGAAAGUAUCGAUAAAAAGAAGUGUGUUGAAUCCUUCCUUCUGCGUUGGAUUGAGAAGUUCUUUGAUCCCGUAAAAGAAUCUAAUUAAAAAAGGAGAAGAUUGUCUCUUUUCGCAGACUGUCCGAUGCUAGUCUUAACUGCUGAUUAAAGAAAUGAAGGGCGUUUUGGCUUUGAAUUGGCGGUAGUUUGAUGAUGCUUCGCCCAGCAAUGAUGAUGUAGCAGUCGUAGAGGCCAGGGUUCUCUUUUCCUUCCUUUGAUGGCUUCUUUCCUUAUAUUCCUGUCCAGUCUUGUAUUCUCUGAAAGAAGAUCUCGAAGGGUUCCACUUCAAUCUCCCUCUUUUGGUCAAUCUUAAGGCAGAGGAUAUCAACUGAAGAUAGUCCCCCCACUUGGUGGGCUGCUGAUGAGAACUCAAAUUUCUAUUUAUUCUCUUAUAUGAGAAAAAAAAAAUGUUAUGUAAUAUGGAUUUUGAAUUACCUUUCAAUGGAUGUUGAAGCACUUACUUACAAAUUAUGGAAAAAUUAAAAAAAUUAUAUUAGAAAUGGGAAGUUCAAUUUUAAUUGCAAUGA